AUGGCUACCCGAUGCGAGGGAGACGAUUUUGCAAGUAACGGAGCAAAACUAACGUAUUUAACGAAAGUCGAGAGAACCAGUAUUUAUUCGCAGCGCUGUGAUAGAAACGUUUUAGUGUUCUUUAACUUCUGUUUUACAACCGUGUGUGCUCUGGGAGGACCGCUUCAGGAUGUAGACGCAGUUUGGCGCGUUACUUUUAUGCUAACGUUAACGGACAUUAGCUCCAAAGUAACGUAACGUUGUGACUGAAGCCUUCGUCUGACAGUCGGCAGAGAAUGCACUUUGGCCCGGACUAUAGAGAGUGCUGCUGAAGGGAUUUCAUCAUGUCCAUAAUCACCUGACUUGCGAAAGCAGCUCUUGUAUCGGAUUAAGUAUUGAGUGACACUACAGCUAUCCCAAGUUAUGUUUUCAAUUUGCACAUCUCUGCAUAAGAGUUAGUAUAUUUUGUUUGAAUUAUUCAGGAUUAUGUAGACUUCAUGCAUUUUAUACUGCCUAGAUUUGAAAGACUUGAGUUAAGGUAUUUAAAGGAACAUACGGGCUUCAUUUGAACUUACUAGGAUGCUUCCUUAUUUAACGAAAAUUCCCUUAGUGGUAACAACAUUAAUCUACAUACAUUUAUGUGUUUGUGUUUGAAUGUCUGCAGGUGUUUUCUGAGUUCCAUCGUCAUCAUGACUAAUGUUGAACCUAUGGAGCCAAUUCAACUGUGAGCUUGACACCACAGCUGAUUGUCCUGUCCAGGUGGAGGGCCUCACAGAUGGGCAAGACAGCAGAGGCACUGCAGAGAUCCUAGGAUUUAUGACCUCCAGAAACAACAUGAUGUACACAUGAGACGCAUUCUGGCCCUUCGUGCCCUCCCAGUGGACCUGCAAGGGGAUGACUGAUUUCUUCAAGACCCGCAAUUGCAAAGAUGAACCAGAUAUUGCUGACACGCCUGUGGUCACUGACGACGUCCCUGCUGCGGUCCACUUCAACCCUGAGAGCGUUUCUGUUGUAGUCGAAGAGGAAAUUGUGAGUGACUAUCCAAAGAAACUAAAUUACACAUUCACCUUUUUUCAGAAAAUAAUAAUAUCUUGAUGAUAGCAAACUACUGAAGCUGUGCCUAAAGUACUUGUUGAAAGAAGUUUGAAUGUACUUAUGUACAUGUUUGUUUCUGUGAAAUAUAGAAAUGGCAGGAGAUGUAAAAAGUUUUGUUAAUGAUUGUUCAAUAAAGAAAACUUGACUUG
Molecule: long non-coding RNA, 1223 nt
Organism: Micropterus dolomieu (smallmouth bass)
Lineage: Eukaryota; Metazoa; Chordata; Actinopteri; Centrarchiformes; Centrarchidae
Exons: 5
Source: RefSeq, a predicted model, not a curated record